This 444-nucleotide ribosomal RNA is filed under the name uncultured bacterium. Its description in RNAcentral is "partial 16S ribosomal RNA". It matches the Rfam family "Bacterial small subunit ribosomal RNA", at positions 338 to 795 of the family's 1533-position model. The record is from RNAcentral.
CCUACGGGUGGCAGCAGUGGGGAAUAUUGGGUAAUGGAGGAACCUCUGACCCAGCAAUGCCGCGUGAAUGAAGAAGGUCUUCGGAUUGUUAAGUUCUUUAGUCAGGGAAGCAUAACAUGACGGUACCUGCAGCAUAAGCUCUGGCUAACUACGUGCCAGCAGCCGCGGUAAUACGUAGGGAGCAAGCGUUGUUCGGAAUGACUGGGCGUAAAGGGUGCGUAGGCGGUUAUACAAGUUAGAAGGGAAAUACCCAGGGGUUAACGCGGGUGCUGCUUCUAAAACUGUAAGACUUGAGUGCAGUAGAGGUUAGUGGAAUGCCUAGUGUAGCGGUGGAAUGCGUAGAUAUUAGGAGGAACACCAGAGGCGAAGGCGGCAAACUGGAGUGCAACUGACGCUGAGGCACGAAAGUGUGGGGAGCAAACAGGAUUAGAUACCCCAGUAGUC